RNAcentral lists this ribosomal RNA (483 nucleotides) under uncultured bacterium. RNAcentral describes it as "partial 16S ribosomal RNA". It matches the Rfam family "Bacterial small subunit ribosomal RNA", at positions 30 to 506 of the family's 1533-position model. The record is from RNAcentral.
AUUGAACGCUGGCGGCAGGCCUAACACAUGCAAGUCGAGCGGAUGAAGGGAGCUUGCUCCUGGAUUCAGCGGCGGACGGGUGAGCAAUGCCUAGGAAUCUGCCUGGUAGUGGGGGAUAACGUCCGGAAACGGGCGCUAAUACCGCAUACGUCCUGAGGGAGAAAGUGGGGGAUCUUCGGACCUCACGCUAUCAGAUGAGCCUAGGUCGGAUUAGCUAGUUGGUGGGGUAAAGGCCUACCAAGGCGACGAUCCGUAACUGGUCUGAGAGGAUGAUCAGUCACACUGGAUCGGAGACACGGUCCAGACUCCUACGGGAGGCAGCAGUGGGGAAUAUUGGACAAUGGGCGAAAGCCUGAUCCAGCCAUGCCGCGUGUGUGAAGAAGGUCUUCGGCUUGUAAAGCACUUUAAGUUGGGAGGAAGGGCAGUAAGUUAAUACCUUGCUGUUUUGACGUUACCAACAGAAUAAGCACCGGCUAACUUCGU